GAUGAACGCUGGCGGCGUGCCUAAUACAUGCAAGUCGAGCGAACAGAUAAGGAGCUUGCUCCUUUGACGUUAGCGGCGGACGGGUGAGUAACACGUGGGUAACCUACCUAUAAGACUGGGAUAAUUUCGGGAAACCGGAGCUAAUACUGGAUAAUAUUUCGAACCGCAUGGUUCGAUAGUGAAAGAUGGUUUUGCUAUCACUUAUAGAUGGACCCGCGCCGUAUUAGCUAGUUGGUAAGGUAACGGCUUACCAAGGCGACGAUACGUAGCCGACCUGAGAGGAUGAUCGGCCACACUGGAACUGAGACACGGUCCAGACUCCUACGGGAGGCAGCAGUAGGGAAUCUUCCGCAAUGGGCGAAAGCCUGACGGAGCAACGCCGCGUGAGUGAUGAAGGUCUUCGGAUCGUAAAACUCUGUUAUUAGGGAAGAACAUACGUGUAAGUAACUGUGCACGUCUUGACGGUACCUAAUCAGAAAGCCACGGCUAACUACGUG
This 497-nucleotide ribosomal RNA is filed under the name uncultured bacterium. Its description in RNAcentral is "partial 16S ribosomal RNA". It matches the Rfam family "Bacterial small subunit ribosomal RNA", at positions 28 to 507 of the family's 1533-position model. The record is from RNAcentral.